GAGACACCCUUCUGGGGCAAGACUUGCUUCAGAGGGGCUUUGGUGCUCACUGAGUCUGCCCCCUGAGUGUGUCCCU
This 76-nucleotide microRNA precursor is filed under the name Myotis lucifugus (little brown bat). Its description in RNAcentral is "mir-9229 microRNA precursor family". It matches the Rfam family "mir-9229 microRNA precursor family". Lineage: Eukaryota; Metazoa; Chordata; Mammalia; Chiroptera; Vespertilionidae. The record is from Rfam by way of RNAcentral.